Long non-coding RNA from Papaver somniferum (opium poppy), 682 nucleotides. RefSeq lists it as uncharacterized. The transcript has 2 exons. NCBI's taxonomy places the organism in Eukaryota, Viridiplantae, Streptophyta, Magnoliopsida, Ranunculales, Papaveraceae. The record is from RefSeq and is a predicted model, not a curated record.
CCCUUUUUUUUUUGCUCACUUUUGCGUAAACUUUAAAUAAACGAAGGGUUAAUUGGUGUGCAUUCCAUUAUACUUCAAUUAUUUCAUAUUCCGCUUUAGUUCUCGAGAAGAAAACUUUCAUAUUCCACAAAUCAUCCUACAGACUCUUAAUCUCUCGAACAUCUACAACCAUCGGGGAUUCUCUGCAAUUUCUUCAAGGUUAUCAAAUUGGAUGAUUUGAUAUAUUGAAGAAUGCAAGUUUCUCAUUAAAGAUAUCAUUGUCCCACAAGGAAAUUGCUAACAUUCAUGGAUCCUAGACUAGAUGGGGAAGGAAGGCAAGGUAAGCACAGUUGGUACAAUGCAAAUAUUGUUGCUUAUUGAACUAUGUGUAUUCCAAGCUUCUUCCAGCAUAUAUAGUUGAUGUAGACCCGGAUGAGGUAGAUGUAGCCGAUGGAACAAUGUUGGUGUUGUCACGAUAUACGACCCAAUCCACUUGUAGACCUGGGUUUUUUUUUGACAAUCUGUUGAUAUUGGAUUUCAUCCAUGGAGGUGUAGGGUGCUACCACCUUACGAAAGCAAAGUGAUAUUUGGUCUUUGUAUUUUUCACGUGCUUUCCUCUAUAUCAUGUAAAAGCCGCAUGCAAAAACACUUCUGCUGCUUCUUUAUUAUUUUGGUAAAUAGAUUUAUUUAUUUUUGUAACGAA